UAGGGAAUCUUCCGCAAUGGGCGAAAGCUUGACGGAGCAACGCCGCGUGAGUGAUGAAGGUCUUCGGAUCGUAAAACUCUGUUAUUAGGGAAGAACAAAUGUGUAAGUAACUAUGCACGUCUUGACGGUACCUAAUCAGAAAGCCACGGCUAACUACGUGCCAGCAGCCGCGGUAAUACGUAGGUGGCAAGCGUUAUCCGGAAUUAUUGGGCGUAAAGCGCGCGUAGGCGGUUUUUUAAGUCUGAUGUGAAAGCCCACGGCUCAACCGUGGAGGGUCAUUGGAAACUGGAAAACUUGAGUGCAGAAGAGGAAAGUGGAAUUCCAUGUGUAGCGGUGAAAUGCGCAGAGAUAUGGAGGAACACCAGUGGCGAAGGCGACUUUCUGGUCUGUAACUGACGCUGAUGUGCGAAAGCGUGGAGAUCAAACAGG
This 429-nucleotide ribosomal RNA is filed under the name Actinomycetes bacterium. RNAcentral describes it as "Actinobacteria bacterium partial 16S ribosomal RNA". It matches the Rfam family "Bacterial small subunit ribosomal RNA", at positions 355 to 776 of the family's 1533-position model. Lineage: Bacteria; Bacillati; Actinomycetota; Actinomycetes. The record is from RNAcentral.